AAAGGACCAAAAAGGAUCAUUUCAAGCACCUACCCAGGAGCAACGACAGGAGAUCAGGGAAGGAAGACUGAAAAAGGAAAAUCCUCCUCUUACAGCAGAAACAGGCUGCUGGGUUAGCUCAGCUACUGUCCAAUCCCAGGUAAGUGCUCCGUAUGCAACACCUUCUAUACGUUUAUGUAAUUACGUAAACAUCAGGCGCACCAGAAGCAGACUUUCCUUAAGCAGAGAAUUCUCCCUUCUUAAACAUACAGAAUAUAACGUGCGGUGCAAUGCGGGCACAGGCCGGCCACAACACAUCACAGCAGUCACUAACUGGUUCGUAGCCAGCAGUAGCAGCAAAUCUGUCUGAGGGUUAGGAAACUAUCCACAACAAAACAGCUCAGAACAAGUUCCUAUCUCAUCUUUUUCUAAUACUUACAUGCUAGCUGUCUUUUCCUCAUCUGCUCACAUUGUCUGCAAGCGCCACGCAAGCCCCAUGUUGUCGCAGUUAACCCUGCAAGUGUCAGCUGUCUCCCUCUGUGCUGGGGAUGGAGCGUGCCGCAAAGCCGCCCAAGCAGCUCCUCAAGCAGCAGUGAGCUGUGCGGGCUCCCCACCUGCCUCCUGCAUACAUCUCACACACAGCACAGCAGGCUGGCAGCACACACGUACCUAGCACUCUUGCUGGCCAACAGCUGUGCCUCUCUAAAUUGCUUAUGCUCAAUAUUCCUCUUCCUCCAUACUUGGUGCCUACAAUACGCAGCGGUAAAACAGAGCUUGCUGUAGAUUAAUGACAUGUUCUCAGAAACUAUUUCCACAGUAAACAUAAGUAAGAAACAAAACCUCCAAGGUGAAAUAUCAAUUACAUCAACAAGUUUGCUGAGGGAGUCAGGCCAAACUCUUGGAAAGUCACACAACCGAUGUGUUUGAUUCACACAUCGCAGCCUGCGCUCCAAGACGUUGAAAAGAUGCAGGAAACCAUGAUGCCAGCAACAACAUAUCUCUCGCUGAAGUUACGUCGUAACUCACUGUAAGUGAAAGGCAGAAGAUGAAUUCCUUAUCAGAACGAGGAGCACGACCUACCAGUUGUUCCACCAUAAAGAACAACAGCACGAACAUACGCACCUGG
RNAcentral lists this long non-coding RNA (1105 nucleotides) under Gallus gallus (chicken). RNAcentral describes it as "long non-coding RNA NONGGAT004323". Lineage: Eukaryota; Metazoa; Chordata; Aves; Galliformes; Phasianidae. The record is from RNAcentral.